This is a long non-coding RNA of Mirounga angustirostris (Northern elephant seal), 6267 nucleotides long. RefSeq lists it as uncharacterized. NCBI's taxonomy places the organism in Eukaryota, Metazoa, Chordata, Mammalia, Carnivora, Phocidae. The record is from RefSeq and is a predicted model, not a curated record. The transcript has 8 exons.
GCAGGAGAGAGCUUAUUUCCUCUCUCUGCUCUCCGCCAUGUGAGGACUCAGCUGGAAGUCAGCAGUCUACAGCUUGGAGGUGGGCUCCCACCAGAACCUGACCCUGCUGGCACCCUCAUCUCAGACUUCCAGCCUCUGGAACGGUUUCCCAACCGAAGCUGUCUGCUCUGCCCUGGUGUUAAAAAUGUGUGUUUCAAGAGAUACACAGUGAGAGAGGGAACACAAGCAGGGGGAAUGGGAGAAGGAGAAGCAGGCUUCCCGCGGAGCAGGGAGCCCGACGUGGGGCUCGAUCCCAGGACCCUGAGAUCAUGACCUGAGCCGAAGGCAGACGCUUAACGACUGAGCCACCCAGGCGCCCCUGGUUUUAUAUUUUUAUGAAAGAAGAAAGGGUGUCUAAUUGUCCACUGCGAGUGGUGUGGCUUUCCUUCAGAAUCCUAGGAUUCUUCACUGUGAUCCUCAUAUUGGAGUCGGUUGUAAACUCCAUAUAGCAUCUCCUCCUGCCCCUUCACCGGAUACCUGUAAAACCACAAGUUCUGCAGUGUCCUCUGGCCCAAGUGAAGACGUGCAGCGGGGCUGUGGAACAGCUCUCAGAAGCUCACAUUUAAAUAUGGGAUGAUGUGGAGGCAUCAGGUAAAAUAUUUGUCUGGUUCGGAGCCUGAGUUUCUCAUCAUAAUUCAGUGAAGAUCUUUGACUAGGACUCUGAUUAAUCUCAAUCCCCAUUCCACAGCAUGAUGCCUUGUGGCUAGAAGACACUACAUUCUCUGAUUGAGGGACUGUGGAUUAUGCCUCUUUGUGCUCAGCGCUGUCACUGCAAUUCAAUAAAUGUAUGCUGAAUGAGUUGAUGAAAAUAUCUGAGCAAGUGAAGGCCUUCAACUUUGAGAAGAUCAACAUGAUUGAAAGCAGAAUUUCUGAACCAUAUCUGCUCUUUAGAAUCACCUGGGGGAGCUUUUAAAAAUUCCAAUGCCUGGCCACACCCUAAAUCACUUAAAUCAGAGUCUCUGGAGGUGGGUUCCAGAUAUCAGUUUAUUAAAGCUCCUCAGUUAGCUUCAUUGUGCAGCCAGGUUGAGAGUCAGUGCUCUGGCAGGAUUAAAACAUCUUCAAAAGUUCCGGAUAAUAAGAACAUCAACCACCAGCUGAAGAUGAAAGGAUAUUCCAUUCUUUUCCUGCUCUCAAAUGUCUGGUAUUGAAUACUAUAUUUCCAGCUCAAAAUAAGGGCUUGAAAACUCUUGUGUGUCAUCAUGCCUCCCAGUGUGUUAUGAUCUUGUCUAAGCUGGGCAAGUGUUACAAAUACUGAAUGGCCUUCCUGGUCCUGAAUAUAGAUGUGGGAAGGACAUGCUCUGCUUUGCCACAAGCAUACAUCAGUAGAGAUUUGUUUUCAGCAUAAGAACAAUUACCAUUGUCAUAUUCUGGACUGUGUGCAAAUUGUUUUAUUAUAAACUCACUGUUGGUCCCUAUUUAACUGGGAAAUAAUUUGUUCUAAAUUUAUCUAUUCUCUCUGCAUGGCAUUGACAUUUGCCGACACUGCCAGACUUGCUUCACUUAUAAGAAAAAAGGUUCCAUGGAGAACAGGCAGUGUGCUCUCAUCUAACUGAUUAAUAAUCUCUAGAGGAUCUUUGGAACUGGCAUGUGAACUCUUCCUGCUCUCCUGCUAAUUUUGACUUUCACUGGACUCAGAAACACAAACAAUGGUUUCCAUGAAAUGGAGCUGUAAAAGUUUUCUUCAUCCAACCAGCUCUCUAAAGAAAGAAUGCUCACUGCCAAAGCUUAAAGAUGAGAAAUGAGAUAUGUAAUGAAAAGUUGUUUGUUUUCAAGAGUUUACAAGUCAAUUUGGGUUACUUCAUCCGCCAAAUUUUUAUCUCUGUACUAGGCAACAAUUACAUGUUUUCAGCUUGAAAAAAAAAAAAAAAGUCCACUUUGCUUACCAUGGCAUCUGUAGUAUGUUGAAACCAUUCUGCAAUUUAAUGCAGACAAAGACUUUCUAAAGUCACAUGGUCUGUUUGAGUAAGAGGAGUCCAUUAAGAAUGAACCAAGACAUCAUGUAUUAUCGUGAUUUCUCCCUUUGUGGGUUUUACAAUUUUCCUACAAGCUCUGGUGUUUUAAGAUAACAUUUUGCACAUUGGAUUUAACUACCUGAAAGCCUAUGAUGCGGAAUUGCCAGCAGCCAGUUGGUAGCCUGGAAGGACCUUAUUUAGUCAUGACUAUCUUCUUCAUACUUCUUUGUAGUAUAAAGACAAACUCCUUCAGGGGGAUGUACUGAUUUACAGACAUCCUUUUGUUAUUUUCUUAGAAGUGCUAUUCAAAUCUAGAACUAAGGGAAAAGUCGGAUAUGAAACUUCAGAGUCAUUAAGUGGCACAAUCUGAGUAUAAAUUUUAUGGCACCAGUGAGGGCUCCAGAUCUUGAUAGUGACUGUUGCUAAUCCAAAUAUUGCCACCGAGGAAAGGACACCCAUUAAUAAUUACUAUUCUAAACACAUGGAAGCAGCAGGAAAACCUUUGCUUUAACUAUGGUAUGCAUAGUUAAACAAACUGCGAACAACAAUGGCAUACGUAUGUUCAUGUAAUUAUUUCCUACACGUGUUUCAUUUGGAAACUGGCUAAAACUUAUGUUGCCCACUCUUGAUAAAAAUGAAAAGAAGUAAACAAUGAAAACAAAAGGCAAACUGGUUUAACACUGACUUGCCAAAAGGCUCACUUUUGAAUUGGUAUCUUCACCAGAAAACAAAACGCUGGCUAUUAUUUGGGCUUUGGUUAUAGCUCCACACGUAGUAGGCUGUCAAUAAUAAACAUAGACAGAAUAAAAUGAAUGAAUGGAAGUAUCUAUAAUGUAUAUUUCAACAAUAAGAACCGCAUUUUGAAUAGAAGAUCACAUGUGCUUUCUUUCUUUAAAAAUCUAUAAAAUUUGUAUCAAACCUCACAAUUUUUAUUAUAAGUUUUCAUGAUUAAAUUAUUGCCCCAUCUACUCAGACUGCUUUUAAUAUUGCCUUUGUUCAUGUAACCAUGGCAACAUCUUUGGUAUCUAUACUUCAGGUUCUGAUCUCUCAUUCCACAAUGGGUCACUUUGCUCUGCAUCAUUCAUAACAGAAAUCAUCUGAGGGCACAGGCAGUCUUGGAAUGGGAUUAUAUUUUUCAUGUCCUCUCUGUUAAGGGCUGGGUUGUGUCUCCCAAAAUCCCUAUGCUGAAAUCCUAACUCCUAGGACUUUAGUAUGUGACCGUAUUUGGAGAUAGGGUCAUUAAAGAGGUAAUUAUAUUAAAAUGAGGUCAUUAGGAUGGGCCCUAAUCCAAUAUGACUAGUAUCCUUAUAAGAAGAGGGAAUUCAGACGCAUAUACGCACAGAUGAAGACCAUGGAAAGACACAGGGAUGAAGAUGGCCUGUGUUAAGGAGAGAGGCCACAGAAGAAACCAACUCUGCAACAUCUUGAUUUCAGACUUAAGCUUUUAGAGCUGUGAGAAAAUAAAUUUCCAUUCUUUAAGCCACCCAAUCUGUUUUACUUUGUUACAUGGCAACCUUAGCAAACUAAUACAACUACCUUGAUUUUCUAAAUUUUUGGUCUUCUUCCCAAAUAUCACUAGCCCUUGAAAGUUUUGAAAUAUAUUCUGAGCUUCAUGUUUAUGCAAACUUUCAGGUUUGUUUGCUUUCUCUGCAUCUCCUAGACCACCAAUAAAUCUGACCAUAUGAUUUUUCCCAGAUUUUCUCCUUCUCUGACAUUAACAGUUGCAUAUUUCCUAGUUUUUGCAACAUAUCAAAUAGGAGAUCUUUUAGGAAGUUCCUAUAAACCAGAAAGGGUUUGUUUAUCAUAGUUUUAGCUAAGUCAUCUGAAGAGGAAGAUUUUCUAUCUAUGAUAUGUAGCUGUAUCAUUUAAAAUGGAACUUGGGGAGAAAAUACCAAUAGAUCCAGAUUCAUUUAGACUAUGAAUAUACAUAGGUUGCACAUUAUUAUUUUUCUGUCUUGUAAGCUUGCCCAUUCUAAGUCUAUAGCAAUGAAAAAAUACAAAGACACUGAAACAGAUUAUUAAAACUUGGUAUUUGGCAUGGGAUCCCAUGUCCACUGGGAUUCAGGUUUGGGAUGGGGAGAACCAAGGUCAGCCUGGUAGAGCAGGCAGCCAUCCAAAUGCUGUGAAGAGCUAAGGAAGCCCGGGGAGGGCCUUGUUUUUCAAAUCUUUCCUCAACUCACAAGCCAGGAUUAGACAGGCUAUUGUUAGAGAAUUUAUGUUUCGGGUCAGGAAAACUUUCGGUCAUUAAAAAUUUCUUCCAAAAUCCAAAACAGGAUCAGAGGAGCUGAGCAGCAUUUGGCCCUAUGGUGGUAAUGCAAUGAAAGCGACUUUAUUUAGGGUUAUCAUUAGUCUGACAAAUUGGAAAAACAAAUGAAACAAUCCUUUCCUUUGGAUGAUGUUGGGGACUACUUGAGAGCAUUCCUAAUUAGGGAUUAAAAGCAGUAGCUCUCUGGGGGUUUAGAUGUUAAGCCUGGACUUAAUGUGCCACAGAGCUUAAAGGGCAAGUAUGAUGAUGGGCAUAUCAUGCUCUGCACAUUGAGUAAUUACUAAAGGCUUCCUGUGAGGGCAAUGUGCAAACAGCUCUGUACAAUCAUGCUUAAUGAGAAAUCAUAUUUUAAUGUAUAAUCAUGAAAUGGUUACUUAGAUAGUCUUGGAAGUCUGAAAUUUGUCAUGUUACCAUAGAAAGCAGGCACACGUGCAGAUAUGUUCCUUGUCAUUCCAUUAACCAUAAAUCUCUGUUAAUAGGCACUUCUGAUAUAUUGAUAAUGAAAGGAUGACUAAUGUUUCUAAUGAUGACCCUGAGGCAUGACAAAAUUCUUAAAUGCUUUUUGAAUCUUCAAAGAGAAUAAAUUAUAUUUUUCAUGACCCAAAUUCAUUUUUAUCAUAUUCUAAUUCCCUGGAAAGUAGUAAUUUGUAUAUAGUAUGACACACAUAUCCCACAUGGUAAAUGCAAAAGUAGGGGCUUUGGAAUCAAACAACUUGAUGUAUAUCAUGGCUCUUCAUUUGCUAGCCCAGUGAUUUCAGAAGAGUUCUGUAACAUCACUCACCCUUGGUCUUUGCAUCUGAAAAAUGGGCAUAACAAUAGCUACCUUGCAGGACAUCGUGAGAACUAAAUGAUAUAAAAUCCAAUUGAACAUGCUUGCCACAUAUAGGUGUCAGAAAAGGUUUAAUUCCUGUCUUCCUUGUCCAACACAUUAGUCAAAACACCCCAUUUGCUGACCACAUCAGAUAAAGAAUUUGCUUUGCAUCUAAACAGAGUAGGGGCAUGGAAAAAAGAUUGUAAUAAGAAUAGUAGGAGUAUGUGUCCCUUGGAGGUGGGGCUGCCUUUUACCUAGGCUUGUUUUCAGGGUGCUGGCUGCUGUGGCUUUAAUUUGCAGGCUUAUUUUCUUUAGGAUAAUGAAUUUUUAUUUAAAUUUGGUGAAUUUCCUUUGAGCUCCUUUUAAGUCAUCUGAACAUAGGAAACACUUUUUCAUGCUUUUAGAGUUUUUCUGAUUGACUUUGUUCUCCAAAAAGGGCUGAUUUUAAUAUUCUAAGUGAUAAAAAGUGCCUUUGACACGAUUGAAGCAAUUUAAUUAGUAAAUCCGGAAAUUAUAAAGGAUUGGAAAUCACACCCUCCAUGCUUUUAAUAAAACAGAGUAGUGAAACUUCUGAUAGGUGAAUACCACGUGUUGAAAGAAUUCUGUACCACACACCAAUGAAAGAAAUGAAGAAAUUGAGAGAACUUUGUGAGCGACCUACUAAGGGAAUUACAUGAGUAGGCAAUUAUGUGAUCGGUAUAUAUCAUGGAUCAAAACUUCUGUGGUUUCAUAAUUUAGACAAAGUACUUGUUUAGCAUUUAAUAGUGCAAAAUCGUUCAAGCCACACAUUGAGAUUCAACAUAUUAGGUAGGAAAAGGGAGCUAGCAUAAUCGUGAGGCAGUCUAAUUUUUAAAUUAGUUGACCUCAGAAUAUCUUAAUCCUGGAGUAAGUAAUAUGCAAAGGAUCAUUUAAUGUUGUAGCUAAUAGGACUUUUAGUGUCAGGCUGUCCAUCUCAUGAUGAUGGCGCAUGAAUUAUUUCUAGUCAGUUUACUAUGAGUACUCUCCUAUAGUAUGUCAUCACUAAACAGGGAACAUGGCUAUAACUGCUAGGCAUAAACAUAAUAACAUGUUCAACUGUAAAACUAUCUACAGUAUAUAAAUACAGAUGCUGUACUCAAAAGCACCAUCAUUUUUUAUUGCCUUGGUAAUGGAGUGUUCCAGAGAGACAUGUAUAUGGAUGAUUAGUGAUUGGUGGAUUU